AGUGAACGCUGGCGGUAGGCCUAACACAUGCAAGUCGAGCGGCAGCACAGUAAGAGCUUGCUCUUACGGGUGGCGAGUGGCGGACGGGUGAGGAAUACAUCGGAAUCUACUUUUUCGUGGGGGAUAACGUAGGGAAACUUACGCUAAUACCGCAUACGACCUACGGGUGAAAGCAGGGGAUCUUCGGACCUUGCGCGAUUGAAUGAGCCGAUGUCGGAUUAGCUAGUUGGCGGGGUAAAGGCCUACCAAGGCGACGAUCCGUAGCUGGUCUGAGAGGAUGAUCAGCCACACUGGAACUGAGACACGGUCCAGACUCCUACGGGAGGCAGCAGUGGGGAAUAUUGGACAAUGGGCGCAAGCCUGAUCCAGCCAUACCGCGUGGGUGAAGAAGGCCUUCGGGUUGUAAAGCCCUUUUGUUGGGAAAGAAAAGCAGCAGGUUAAUACCCCGCUGUUCUGACGGUACCCAAAGAAUAAGCACCGGCUAACUUCGUG
RNAcentral lists this ribosomal RNA (492 nucleotides) under uncultured bacterium. RNAcentral's name for it is "partial 16S ribosomal RNA". It matches the Rfam family "Bacterial small subunit ribosomal RNA", at positions 29 to 507 of the family's 1533-position model. The record is from RNAcentral.